This 709-nucleotide ribosomal RNA is filed under the name Texosporium sancti-jacobi. RNAcentral describes it as "mitochondrial SSU rRNA". It matches the Rfam family "Bacterial small subunit ribosomal RNA", at positions 332 to 1145 of the family's 1533-position model. The record is from RNAcentral. Lineage: Eukaryota; Fungi; Ascomycota; Lecanoromycetes; Caliciales; Caliciaceae.
UGUAUAGCGAAAGCUAGUUGUGCUUAAUUUAGCGAAAGCUAAUGUGGUGCAAUAUUGACUACGUCAAAUAAAGUUCUGGGUGGAUUUUGAUGGUGACAUUAUCUAUCUAUGUGUCUUGACCAAAUUACGUGCCAGCAGUCGCGGUAACACGUAAAAGACUAGUGUUAUUCAUCUUUAAUAGGUUUAAAGGGUACCUAGACAGCCUAUCAAGCCCCUAAAGUGGUACUAAUAGGCUAGAGUUUAAUAUAAGGAGGCAUGAAAGUACUGAGAACGUAUAGAGAUGAAAUUCUGUGAUACUAUAUAUGGCACUGGUAGAGGCGAAAGCAUCUUUUUAUGUAAAAACUGACGUUGAGGGACGAAGGCUUUGUGUAGCAAAAAGGAUUAGAUACCCAAGUAGUCUCAGCAGAAAAUGAUGAAUGUCAUAGGAUAGAUUAAUUUUUGUACUAUAAAUGAAAGUGUAAGCAUUCCACCUUAAGAGUAAUUUGGCAACAUUGGAACUGAAAUCAUUAGACCGUUUCUGAAACAAGUAGUGAAGUAUGUUGUUUAAUUUGAUGGUCCGCAAAAAACCUUACCACAAUUUGAAUAUAAAAAUUUUUAUACAAGCGCUGCACGGUUGUCUUCAGUUAAUGUCGUGAGACUUUGGUUAGUUCCAUUAAAUUAACGUAAACCCUUACUUUAUUUUUUAAUAGAGUUGUUCACCGCUAUAUUG